Molecule: ribosomal RNA, 253 nt
Filed under: uncultured bacterium
Lineage: Bacteria
Description: partial 16S ribosomal RNA
Rfam family: Bacterial small subunit ribosomal RNA
Source: RNAcentral
UACGUAGGGUGCGAGCGUUAAUCGGAAUUACUGGGCGUAAAGUGUGCGCAGGCGGCCGCGCAAGUCGAGUGUGAAAGCCCCGAGCUUAACUUGGGAACUGCGCUCGAAACUACGUGGCUGGAGUGUGGCAGAGGAAGGUGGAAUUCCACGUGUAGCGGUGAAAUGCGUAGAGAUGUGGAGGAACACCAAUGGCGAAGGCAGCCUUCUGGGCCAACACUGACGCUCAUGCACGGAAGCGUGGGGAGCAAACAGG